RNAcentral lists this transfer RNA (69 nucleotides) under Ictidomys tridecemlineatus (thirteen-lined ground squirrel). RNAcentral's name for it is "Spermophilus tridecemlineatus (thirteen-lined ground squirrel) tRNA". It matches the Rfam family "tRNA". Rfam says of the family: Transfer RNA (tRNA) molecules are approximately 80 nucleotides in length. Their secondary structure includes four short double-helical elements and three loops (D, anti-codon, and T loops). Lineage: Eukaryota; Metazoa; Chordata; Mammalia; Rodentia; Sciuridae. The record is from Rfam by way of RNAcentral.
GGGGUUGUGGCUCAGUGGUAGAGUGCUCGCCUAGCAUGUGUGAGGCCCGGGGUUUGAUUCUCAACACCA